UAGGGAAUCUUCGGCAAUGGGGGGAACCCUGACCGAGCAACGCCGCGUGAGUGAAGAAGGUUUUCGGAUCGUAAAGCUCUGUUGUUAAGGAAGAACGAGUGUGAGAAUGGAAAGUUCAUACUGUGACGGUACUUAACCAGAAAGGGACGGCUAACUACGUGCCAGCAGCCGCGGUAAUACGUAGGUCCCGAGCGUUGUCCGGAUUUAUUGGGCGUAAAGCGAGCGCAGGCGGUUAGAUAAGUCUGAAGUUAAAGGCAGGGGCUCAACCAUUGUAGGCUUUGGAAACUGUUUAACUUGAGUGCAGAAGGGGAGAGUGGAAUUCCAUGUGUAGCGGUGAAAUGCGUAGAUAUAUGGAGGAACACCGGUGGCGAAAGCGGCUCUCUGGUCUGUAACUGACGCUGAGGCUCGAAAGCGUGGGGAGCGAACAGG
RNAcentral lists this ribosomal RNA (429 nucleotides) under Bacteroidota bacterium. RNAcentral describes it as "Bacteroidetes bacterium partial 16S ribosomal RNA". It matches the Rfam family "Bacterial small subunit ribosomal RNA", at positions 355 to 776 of the family's 1533-position model. Lineage: Bacteria; Pseudomonadati; Bacteroidota. The record is from RNAcentral.